This 253-nucleotide ribosomal RNA is filed under the name uncultured bacterium. RNAcentral's name for it is "partial 16S ribosomal RNA". It matches the Rfam family "Bacterial small subunit ribosomal RNA", at positions 524 to 776 of the family's 1533-position model. The record is from RNAcentral.
UACGUAGGGUGCGAGCGUUAAUCGGAAUUACUGGGCGUAAAGCGUGCGCAGGCGGUUAUGCAAGACAGAUGUGAAAUCCCCGGGCUCAACCUGGGAACUGCAUUUGUGACUGCAUGGCUGGAGUGCGGAAGGGGCAACUGGAAUUCUUGGUGUAGCGGUGAAAUGCGUAGAUAUCAAGAGGAACACCUGCGGCGAAGGCGGGUUGCUGGGCCGACACUGACGCUGAGGCGCGAAAGCUAGGGGAGCGAACGGG